GCUAAGGUGUGUGUUGGCGAGUGGGAGGUCUGGAGUUCAAGUCCCUGCAUGAGCAAGGGAAUUAUUUUUUGUUGCUUGGCCGUGUGGCAUGGUGGAGUCCUAGUCAAAUUGAAAUUUUGAGUAGUGGAGUUGUUGUAGGAGGUUAGGGGGAGAAUUAAGGAGAUGAGUUGCCAAAUUUUUAGGUAUUAUCUUUUUGUUUAUUUUUUUUCAAAUUUCAGACUCUUUUUC
Molecule: long non-coding RNA, 228 nt
Filed under: Gossypium raimondii (Peruvian cotton)
Lineage: Eukaryota; Viridiplantae; Streptophyta; Magnoliopsida; Malvales; Malvaceae
Description: long non-coding RNA (GRAI_LNC003193)
Source: RNAcentral